AUGAACGCUGGCGGCGUGCUUAACACCUGCCAGUCGAACGAAGCACUUUAUUUGAUUUCCUUCGGGACUGAUUAUUUUGUGACUGAGUGGCGGACGGGUGAGUAACGCGUGGGUAACCUGCCUUGUACAGGGGGAUAACAGUUGGAAACGGCUGCUAAUACCGCAUAAGCGCACGGCAUCGCAUGAUGCAGUGUGAAAAACUCCGGUGGUAUAAGAUGGACCCGCGUUGGAUUAGCUAGUUGGUGAGGUAACGGCCCACCAAGGCGACGAUCCAUAGCCGACCUGAGAGGGUGACCGGCCACAUUGGGACUGAGACACGGCCCAAACUCCUACGGGAGGCAGCAGUGGGGAAUAUUGCACAAUGGGCGAAAGCCUGAUGCAGCGACGCCGCGUGAGCGAAGAAGUAUUUCGGUAUGUAAAGCUCUAUCAGCAGGGAAGAUAAUGACGGUACCUGACUAAGAAGCACCGGCUAAAUACGUG
Molecule: ribosomal RNA, 480 nt
Filed under: uncultured bacterium
Lineage: Bacteria
Description: partial 16S ribosomal RNA
Rfam family: Bacterial small subunit ribosomal RNA
Source: RNAcentral